Molecule: long non-coding RNA, 694 nt
Organism: Talpa occidentalis (Iberian mole)
Lineage: Eukaryota; Metazoa; Chordata; Mammalia; Eulipotyphla; Talpidae
Exons: 4
Source: RefSeq, a predicted model, not a curated record
UUCUCAACUGAGAAUUGAGUUCUCAAUUCUCUACCCUAAGUGGGAUCAAUAUAAAGUCUAGCUAGUCACAGAUACUUCAAAGACUCAUGGCUUCAACCAAUAGUUUCAACCUCUUACCCUGCAAACUUGUCAACUACAAAUUACAAAAGUGAAGGGAGGCCCAAAAGACUAGCCCAAGAGACUGUGACACCUCUUCCCUUAAAAUAAGAGUAUGAUUCUCCUCCUCUUCAAUGUGGACGUCACUUGCUAACUGCAUUUGGUAAAAGCGUUUCUAAUGAAUGGGAUGUGUAGUCCAACAUGAAGCAGUGAGGUCUCACUCCAACUUCCAGGCUACCCAAGAAGAUCCUCCAGUCAGAAGACCCUGGCUGACAUCUAAUACAACUUCCUGAGAGACUCUUCCUUGCUUUAUCCUGGCCCACAGAUGUCCUGGGCACUUCUGCCUCUUUCCUGUGGGCCCCCAUCAGAAGGAUCUAGUGAGAUUGUAAAGAUGCUUUGCAAACGAUGAGCACUUCUUCAAAUAUAAGAUGAGAAUUUUAAAGAAAACAAUGGCGGCCACUUCAAGCCUCACAUCACCGAGCCUGCAGUGUGCCUCUCUCAUGGCGUCCAUCUCCUUAGAAUCCAGAAGGAGGAUUCUAUCUCAGUAACUAAAAUGGGCUCAAAGAAGGCAAAUUCCGUGUCAUGUGUAUCAGUCACU